Molecule: ribosomal RNA, 227 nt
Filed under: uncultured bacterium
Lineage: Bacteria
Description: partial 16S ribosomal RNA
Rfam family: Bacterial small subunit ribosomal RNA
Source: RNAcentral
GAUCCUGGCUCAGGAUGAACGCUAGCUACAGGCUUAACACAUGCAAGUCGAGGGGCAGCAUGGUCUUAGCUUGCUAAGGCCGAUGGCGACCGGCGCACGGGUGAGUAACACGUAUCCAACCUGCCGUCUACUCUUGGACAGCCUUCUGAAAGGAAGAUUAAUACAAGAUGGCAUCAUGAGUCCGCAUGUUCACAUGAUUAAGGUAAGUUACCGGUUACGGUACGGAA